Molecule: long non-coding RNA, 654 nt
Filed under: Struthio camelus australis
Lineage: Eukaryota; Metazoa; Chordata; Aves; Struthioniformes; Struthionidae
Description: lncRNA (ENSSCUG00000001431.1)
Source: RNAcentral
CUGGCUCUUCCUGGGCUGUACCUGGGGUAAGAGGCUCAGAGACUGUCCUGACAUCACUGUGACCACAGUUUCAUCUGGCUGAUGCAGUGUGUGCUUAUCAUCAUCUGAAAUCUCUGCUGCCGGAAAGAGGGAAUCGUUCAGAAGACUUUACUCUAGGAGGAUACUUCACUCCUGUAAAUCUGCCAGCAAGUCAUAACAAUGUCCCUCUGAGUCAAUUCAUGGCUUGCCCCAGUGCUGCCUUCCUCUUGAGCGUCCUGCCUAACCUCACAUCUGGCCUCCACUACACAACUGCCCAUCUCUGGAGUCACUCAGCAAAGCACGCACCAAGGAAAGCUGUGGGUUUCUGUCAACCGGUGCAUCUACCACUGUGUCCUGGAGAGCUCCUAACCACCUCGGACCUGGAGAGGAGAGGGAAGCCCCUGUGCAUGCAGUACCACCCCAUCCUCUGGUCUUUAUUCCAGUCCUGUCCAGCACCUGUCAAAGAAAGCCAGUGUGGAGAAGACCUCUUGGGAGCCCCAGAGCCUGUCAAACCCGACCUGAGGAGCUGACUCUUGCAUUGCUCCUGCGGGGAUGGCUGGAUGGCACGUGGCUGGCGUGAUGCUUGCUAGGUAUGUGCCCCCUUGGCCAACGGCAUCUGGAUAGCAAGGUCCAAGG